RNAcentral lists this transfer RNA (84 nucleotides) under Candidatus Woesearchaeota archaeon. RNAcentral describes it as "tRNA-Ser". It matches the Rfam family "tRNA". Rfam says of the family: Transfer RNA (tRNA) molecules are approximately 80 nucleotides in length. Their secondary structure includes four short double-helical elements and three loops (D, anti-codon, and T loops). The record is from RNAcentral. Lineage: Archaea; Nanobdellati; Candidatus Woesearchaeota.
GCCGGGGUGGCACAACCUGGUACUGCGCAAGCCUGGAAAGCUUGUUUCCUUUGGGAUUUCCCGGUUCAAAUCCGGGCUCCGGCG